This is a non-coding RNA of Acanthosepion pharaonis, 106 nucleotides long. Lineage: Eukaryota; Metazoa; Mollusca; Cephalopoda; Sepiida; Sepiidae. The record is from the annotation of a GenBank genome assembly.
UGGCGGUAUCACGUUGAAACACCGGUUCCCGUGCAAUCACCGAUGUCAAGUAAACGUCGAACCUGGUCAGUACCUGGAUGGGUGACUGCUCGGGAAUACUAGGUGC